Molecule: ribosomal RNA, 492 nt
Filed under: uncultured bacterium
Lineage: Bacteria
Description: partial 16S ribosomal RNA
Rfam family: Bacterial small subunit ribosomal RNA
Source: RNAcentral
AGUGAACGCUGGCGGUAGGCCUAACACAUGCAAGUCGAACGGCAGCACAGUAAGAGCUUGCUCUUACGGGUGGCGAGUGGCGGACGGGUGAGGAAUACAUCGGAAUCUACUUUUUCGUGGGGGAUAACGUAGGGAAACUUACGCUAAUACCGCAUACGACCUACGGGUGAAAGCAGGGGAUCUUCGGACCUUGCGCGAAUGAAUGAGCCGAUGUCGGAUUAGCUAGUUGGCGGGGUAAAGGCCCACCAAGGCGACGAUCCGUAGCUGGUCUGAGAGGAUGAUCAGCCACACUGGAACUGAGACACGGUCCAGACUCCUACGGGAGGCAGCAGUGGGGAAUAUUGGACAAAGGGCGAAAGCCUGAUCCAGCCAUACCGCGUGGGUGAAGAAGGCCUUCGGGUUGUAAAGCCCUUUUGUUGGGAAAGAAAAGCAGCAGGUUAAUACCCCGCUGUUCUGACGGUACCCAAAGAAUAAGCACCGGCUAACUUCGUG